GGCCCAGUAGCUCAACGGAUAGAGCAAUUCCCUUCUAAGGAAGAGGUUGCAGGUUCGAUUCCUGCCUGGGUCACUA
RNAcentral lists this transfer RNA (76 nucleotides) under Candidatus Woesebacteria bacterium RIFCSPHIGHO2_01_FULL_44_21. Its description in RNAcentral is "tRNA-Arg". It matches the Rfam family "tRNA". Rfam says of the family: Transfer RNA (tRNA) molecules are approximately 80 nucleotides in length. Their secondary structure includes four short double-helical elements and three loops (D, anti-codon, and T loops). The record is from RNAcentral. Lineage: Bacteria; Candidatus Woeseibacteriota. RNAcentral also lists the same sequence under 1 other name.